Molecule: ribosomal RNA, 1011 nt
Filed under: Staphylococcus epidermidis
Lineage: Bacteria; Bacillati; Bacillota; Bacilli; Caryophanales; Staphylococcaceae
Description: bacterial SSU rRNA
Rfam family: Bacterial small subunit ribosomal RNA
Source: RNAcentral
CAUGCAGUCGAGCGAACAGACGAGGAGCUUGCUCCUCUGACGUUAGCGGCGGACGGGUGAGUAACACGUGGAUAACCUACCUAUAAGACUGGGAUAACUUCGGGAAACCGGAGCUAAUACCGGAUAACAUAUUGAACCGCAUGGUUCAAUAGUGAAAGACGGCUUUGCUGUCACUUAUAGAUGGAUCCGCGCCGCAUUAGCUAGUUGGUAAGGUAACGGCUUACCAAGGCAACGAUGCGUAGCCAACCUGAGAGGGUGAUCGGCCACACUGGAACUGAGACACGGUCCAGACUCCUACGGGAGGCAGCAGUAGGGAAUCUUCCGCAAUGGGCGAAAGCCUGACGGAGCAACGCCGCGUGAGUGAUGAAGGUCUUCGGAUCGUAAAACUCUGUUAUCAGGGAAGAACAAAUGUGUAAGUAACUGUGCACGUCUUGACGGUACCUGAUCAGAAAGCCACGGCUAACUACGUGCCAGCAGCCGCGGUAAUACGUAGGUGGCAAGCGUUAUCCGGAAUUAUUGGGCGUAAAGCGCGCGUAGGCGGUUUUUUAAGUCUGAUGUGAAAGCCCACGGCUCAACCGUGGAGGGUCAUUGGAAACUGGAAAACUUGAGUGCAGAAAAGGAAAGUGGAAUUCCAUGUGUAGCGGUGAAAUGCGCAGAGAUAUGGAGGAACACCAGUGGCGAAGGCGACUUUCUGGUCUGUAACUGACGCUGAUGUGCGAAAGCGUGGGGAUCAAACAGGAUUAGAUACCCUGGUAGUCCACGCCGUAAACGAUGAGUGCUAAGUGUUAGGGGGUUUCCGCCCCUUAGUGCUGCAGCUAACGCAUUAAGCACUCCGCCUGGGGAGUACGACCGCAAGGUUGAAACUCAAAGGAAUUGACGGGGACCCGCACAAGCGGUGGAGCAUGUGGUUUAAUUCGAAGCAACGCGAAGAACCUUACCAAAUCUUGACAUCCUCUGACCCCUCUAGAGAUAGAGUUUUCCCCUUCGGGGGACAAAAUGACCAAGGGGGGC